RNAcentral lists this ribosomal RNA (650 nucleotides) under uncultured marine bacterium. RNAcentral describes it as "bacterial SSU rRNA". It matches the Rfam family "Bacterial small subunit ribosomal RNA", at positions 84 to 729 of the family's 1533-position model. The record is from RNAcentral.
GUGCGAGUAGAGCGGCGGACGGGUGAGUAACGCGUAGGAAUCUACCUAGUAGAAGGGGAUAGCCCGGGGAAACUCGGAUUAAUACCGUAUACCUCCUUAGGGAGAAAGAGGGCUUAGCUUUGAUGCUCUCGCUAUUAGAUGAGCCUGCGUAAGAUUAGCUUGUUGGUGAGGUAAUGGCUCACCAAGGCGACGAUCUUUAGCUGGUCUGAGAGGACGAUCAGCCACAUUGGGACUGAGACACGGCCCAGACUCCUACGGGAGGCAGCAGUGGGGAAUAUUGGACAAUGGGCGCAAGCCUGAUCCAGCCAUACCGCGUGUGUGAAGAAGGCUUUCGGGUUGUAAAGCACUUUAAGUAAGGAGGAAAAGAUUGUAGUUAAUACCUGCAAUCCGUGACGUUACUUACAGAAUAAGGACCGGCUAAUUCCGUGCCAGCAGCCGCGGUAAUACGGAAGGUCCAAGCGUUAAUCGGAAUUACUGGGCGUAAAGCGCGCGUAGGUGGUUUUUUAAGUUGGAUGUGAAAGCCCUGGGCUCAACCUAGGAACUGCAUCCAAAACUAGAUGACUAGAGUACGAAAGAGGGAAGUAGAAUUCACAGUGUAGCGGUGGAAUGCGUAGAUAUUGUGAAGAAUACCAAUGGCGAAGGCAGCUUCC